This 76-nucleotide small nucleolar RNA is filed under the name Neogobius melanostomus (round goby). Its description in RNAcentral is "Small nucleolar RNA SNORD101 (ENSNMLG00000020313.1)". It matches the Rfam family "Small nucleolar RNA SNORD101". Rfam says of the family: snoRNA U101 is a member of the C/D class of snoRNA which contain the C (UGAUGA) and D (CUGA) box motifs and guide the 2'-O-methylation of rRNA and snRNAs. The precise target of this family is unknown. Lineage: Eukaryota; Metazoa; Chordata; Actinopteri; Gobiiformes; Gobiidae. The record is from Rfam by way of RNAcentral.
GCGUCAGUGAUGAUUUGAGUUCUUUUGUCGGAUACCCCUUCACUCUUCUCUGAGUGAGACUCUUAUUCUGACACGC